This 28-nucleotide non-coding RNA is filed under the name Rattus norvegicus (Norway rat). The record is from RNAcentral. Lineage: Eukaryota; Metazoa; Chordata; Mammalia; Rodentia; Muridae.
UGGAAAGCUGAUGUUUUGGAGGACAUAU